Molecule: long non-coding RNA, 368 nt
Filed under: Gallus gallus (chicken)
Lineage: Eukaryota; Metazoa; Chordata; Aves; Galliformes; Phasianidae
Description: long non-coding RNA NONGGAT004807
Source: RNAcentral
GCCUGCGGCACUGGUUCCUCUUGUGGGGUGGUGCAGAAGGCGAUGUGCCCCAGUGCUGCAUCUCCACGUCCCAUGAGCCAUAGGGGACAGCAGGGUCAGCUCUGCGGCCUGGUGCUUCAGGCAGGGCUCCUGCACAGGUGAACAGUGCUGCCUGUUCAGGUGCCUCAGACCCCCAACAUCUCAUUGAGAACCAAAGCAGGGCAUCAGGAAGGAGCAAAGGCAAAAAUCUGAGGCCAAUCAGAUCCAGAUUUCAUCCUGAGAAGUGCAAAAUAUGUGGCCAGGUCACUCCAACAGCUCCAGUGCAAUCACUGCUCUCAUCUGUUUGUGAAUGUCCUUUGACUUGCUCUUGAUCUUGGCAAGAAGCUCAC